This 497-nucleotide ribosomal RNA is filed under the name uncultured bacterium. RNAcentral's name for it is "partial 16S ribosomal RNA". It matches the Rfam family "Bacterial small subunit ribosomal RNA", at positions 28 to 507 of the family's 1533-position model. The record is from RNAcentral.
GACGAACGCUGGCGGCGUGCCUAAUACAUGCAAGUUGAGCGCUGAAGGUUGGUACUUGUACCAACGGGAUGAGCAGCGAACGGGUGAGUAACGCGUGGGGAAUCUGCCUUUGAGCGGGGGACAACAUUUGGAAACGAAUGCUAAUACCGCAUAAAAACUUUAAACACAAGUUUUAAGUUUGAAAGAUGCAAUUGCAUCACUCAAAGAUGAUCUCGCGUUGUAUUAGCUAGUUGGUGAGGUAAAGGCUCACCAAGGCCAUGAUACAUAGCCCACCUGAAAGGGCGAUCUGCCCACUUGGGACUGAAACACCGCCCAAACCCCCACCGGAGGCAGCAGCAGGGACGCUUCCGCCAUGGAGCAAAGUCUGACCGAGCAACGCCGCGUGAGGGAAGAAGGUUUUCGGAUCGUAAAACUCUGUUGGUAGAGAAGGACGUUGGUGAGAGUUAAAAGCUCAUCAAGUGACGGUAACUACUCAGAAAGACACGGCUAACUACGUG